GCUUCGCAGGAGAGAGAGUCAUCCAUCAGACUCCGCCGAAGGUGCAAACUCCCAUAAACGCUCAGGCUCACGGACUGCGAU
RNAcentral lists this non-coding RNA (81 nucleotides) under Candidatus Oceanisphaera merdipullorum. RNAcentral describes it as "Glycine riboswitch". It matches the Rfam family "Glycine riboswitch aptamer", at positions 8 to 87 of the family's 94-position model. From Rfam's summary of the family: This family represents the bacterial glycine riboswitch. The record is from RNAcentral. Lineage: Bacteria; Pseudomonadati; Pseudomonadota; Gammaproteobacteria; Aeromonadales; Aeromonadaceae.